Molecule: unclassified non-coding RNA, 2761 nt
Filed under: Rhipicephalus microplus (southern cattle tick)
Lineage: Eukaryota; Metazoa; Arthropoda; Arachnida; Ixodida; Ixodidae
Description: band 4.1-like protein 5, transcript variant X2
Source: RNAcentral
CGCAAGCAGGCAAGCUGGUUUGUUGCCGGAGCGCCGCAAGCGCCGUCUCCGGUGGAAAACGGCACCAGCGCAGGUAGCGAGCAGUCGCCGACUCGCCGCCGUGGUUGCCUUGGGGUGGAGUGUGUUGUGUGCGUUCGGCUCCGGAUGGGGUCACGGUGCUGCUGUUGUUGUGGUGCUUCCCGUGUCUUGGUGGUGUGCUCAUUCGGAUGACCAACGCUGGGCCAACGUGCCGACGCCGGUUGUGAUAUGUGCGCGCUCGAUUUGUGGCUAGGAGGACUGCGAAGACGACCCAUUGGAUACCUGCGCGCGACGACAUGUUCCGCUUUCUGAGCAAGCGCUGGAGUAGGCAAGCCAGGGCCGACAAGGCGGGCGCACCGUCUCCGAAGAAUGUCUUGCCCUGCAAAGUGGUCUUACUGGACGGCACUGACCUUAGCGUCGACGUCCCGAAAAAGGCCCUUGGAUCAGUGCUUUUAGAACAAGUGUUUUAUCAUAUUGACUUGAUCGAGAAAGAUUACUUCGGGUUACAAUUCACGGAUCCGUUCCACGUCCAGCACUGGCUUGAUGUCACGAAACAAGUUCGGAAGCAAGUCAAGAUUGGGCCUCCAUACACGUUGCAUUUGAAAGUGAAGUUCUACUCUUCAGAGCCAAACACUCUGCGUGAAGAGCUGACCAGGUAUUUAUUCUUCCUGCAACUGAAGCAGGACAUCCUCUCUGGGAGGCUGCCGUGCAGUUACCAGACGGCAGUCGAACUGAGCGCCUAUGCUCUGCAAUCUGAAUUGGGUGACUAUGACCCUGAGCAGCAUACUCCGGAGUUCGUCUCCGAGUUUAGGUUCACGGAAGACCAAACGGAAGAUAUGGAGCUGGACAUCAUCAAUGCAUUUAAGGAGCUGAAGGGUCAGACACCUGCUCAGGCUGAGAUGAACUACCUGAGCAAGGUUAAGUGGCUUGAAAUGUAUGGAGUUGACAUGCAUACUGUAAUGGGGAAAGAUGGCCAGGAAUACUCGCUAGGCCUCACUCCAACUGGCAUUCUAGUCUUUGAAAAGCAAACCAAGAUCGGCCUUUUCUUCUGGCCGAAAAUUACGCGGCUCGACUUUAAGAGUAAGAAGCUGACACUUGUGGUUGUGGAGGAUGACGACGAGGGUCGUGAGCAAGAACACACGUUUGUGUUCCGCCUCUACAACCCCAAGGCAGCAAAGCACCUGUGGAAAUGUGCUGUGGAACACCAUGCUUUCUUCCGGCUCAAGGAGACCAUGAGAGGACCAAACACUCGGCAGAAUUUCUUCCGCAUGGGCUCCCGUUUUCGAUACAGUGGACGUACAGAGUUCCAAGCCACGCAGAAAAACCGCACGAGGCGUACUGUUCAGUUUGAGCGGCGCCCCAGCCAGCGAUACUCGAGGCGCACCACUAGAGAUAGUCGUCAUCGCGCAUCUCUUCCAAACUGUGUAGCCCUCAAUGCUGCAGAUCCAGAGAACAGCGUGGAAUUGGCCCCAGUAGCACCACUGGAUGUAACAGUGGGACCACUGCUGAUAGAGAACAUCCCAGCAGAUGAUGUGCAAUCUUCUAGCCCUGUUUUAGCCACUGGGGAGGCAGAAAACAGGCUGGACACCCUCAUUCGUUCCCUUGCCAAGGAAACAAGCUCAGCAUCAGACACUAGAAAUGACUUGACUGUCUACAAGAAAGGCGACCUUCCUACAGAACCAGAACCAGAUGCCGAGGAGCUGAGUAGGAGGCUAAAGGCCUUGGACAGUAGCUGCAGUGCAAGCGGGACCAGCUGCAGUAGAAGCAAUAGCAACAGAAGCAACAGCAACAGCUCAGCAGGAAUGAGUGGUGGUAGUGGCAAGGACUGUUGUGCAGCUGGCACUGUCACCGUGGUUUCGUGCGGUGUCAAGAAUAACCAGGCCAAGGCUGGUACGAGCAGUGGCAUGCCCAAGCCUAUACCACCUGACCAGAUGAAGUGCAACAUUCUCAAGGCCAAGGCAGAAGAAGACAAGCGUAAAGUGCCAAGUCUAGGGGUUGUAGGCGAGAAAGUGCCGUUGCUUUUAUCGGACAAUGAAGAUGGAAAGCCACUUGUGGCAGAAAAGUACAAGACCGUCAUUCAUGUGAACGGUGAAUCCAGUGAGUUUGCUGGAGCCAAAGGAACUGCGAAUAGAGAAAAGACAAGACACUGUGAUACGAAGGAUCUCUUGGCCGAUAGUACUGCUGUCCUUAGCAAUGGACAUGCUGGUGACCUAGUGGCUGCACUGCCACAGGGUUCGUCUGCCGGCAGUGGCGCCGCCAGCGCCGCAGGCGGCUGUAGCCCGCUGCCGGCAUGCGCGCACCAGCAGGCACCACGUGCCAUCAGCCCCGAUUCCUCGCAGCUACUCAUUCAGUUUGAUAGCGAGGACGAGGAAACGCUGCCGCCGGCCGGCUGCAAGGCUGACCACCCUGCACUGCUGCUUAACAACAGCAAUCACAGCAAUCCCCUUCCCAGCACCCCAAUCCUGCCACCCAAAAAACCUGUUAUUGCACCCGCUGAACAUCCCGUUUCCUCCUCCCGCUGUUGCUACCCUUGAGCCAGCACUGCCACCACCACUGCCACCAUCUCCUCAGACUCUCCCCAAAAAGAGUUUGGAUGGUGUGGUGCUGACUGAGACAUCAUUUGCCGGGGCGAACCCCGUCACUCGCUCCCUUUCCUCUGCCACGCAUCCGCGAGUCAGCAACGGUGGGGUUGCCGCACCUGUUGUGGUCAAGCGCACGUUGUCCAACUGCACAUCCAGCCAGC